AAAGUCGUAACAAGGUAACCGUAGGUGAACCUGCGGUUGGAUCAUUAAAAAGUUUAGGCGGCUCGAGUCUCGCACUCCUGCCGUCCUACCAACCCACAUUUAUGUGAACCGUUUUGUCUCUGGCGGCGGGAGAGUUGUGACGCUACUUGUUAGUGUUGCUUCUCUCUGUCAGCUCGGGCAACCGAGCCGUGGACAAACCGCCAACUGACUACUUAACCAAACCUUUUAAAAAUUUAUGUCUAACAUAAAAUCUGUAUUUAAUAUACAAACAACUUUUGGCAACGGAUCUCUUGGCUCUC
Molecule: unclassified non-coding RNA, 299 nt
Filed under: Chytridiomycota sp.
Lineage: Eukaryota; Fungi; Chytridiomycota
Description: partial contains small subunit ribosomal RNA, internal transcribed spacer 1, and 5.8S ribosomal RNA
Rfam family: Eukaryotic small subunit ribosomal RNA (bases 1-47)
Source: RNAcentral